Molecule: ribosomal RNA, 717 nt
Filed under: Triticum aestivum (bread wheat)
Lineage: Eukaryota; Viridiplantae; Streptophyta; Magnoliopsida; Poales; Poaceae
Description: partial small subunit ribosomal RNA
Source: RNAcentral
ACAACUAUUGGUGGUCGAGAGAGAAAGUUUAAUCCUGAUUGGUUUGAUGAGUUUGGGAGCUGGCUUGAGUAUAGUGAGUACAAAGAAAAAUCGUAUUGCUUCUGUUGUUUCUUAUUCAGGCGCCGUGAUAAGAAAGAAGCUGGAUAUGCAGCAUUUGUUGCAAAGGGUUGGUCAGGCUGGAACAAAAAACAUAGACUAAAUGAUCAUGUCGGAGAUGUGAAUAGUGUUCACAACCAAGCAAAAAGAGAUUGUGAUGCUUUAUUGCAACAAGACCAGCAUAUUUAUGUUGCUUUCAAUAAUCAAAGCAAUGCUGCGAAGAAGGCGCAUUAUACUAGACUAAAUGCCUCAAUUGAUGUUACUAGAGUUCUAUUGCAGCAAGGGUUACCUUUUCGCGGCCAUGAUGAGUCAGAGGAGUCCUUGAAUAAAGGCGGAAGUGCGAAGGAGAGUUUAGUUGGCCUGGUUCAUGUGAAGGAGACAACUUCAAAGUACCUCAAGUCUGCUAUUGAUGAUUUAUUUGCAGAACUUAGCUUAAGUCUCAAGCAGGUUAGGGGCCAAGGAGACGACGGCACGAGCAACAUGCGAGGUGAGUUUAAUGGUUUGCAAUCUUUAAUCAUGAGGGAGAACAACACGGCAUAUUAUGUUCAUUGUUUUGCACACCAAUUGCAACUAGUUGUUGUGGCCGUUGUAAGGAAGCACAAAUGGAUUGGAAACUUUUUU